Paramormyrops kingsleyae is the source of this 780-nucleotide long non-coding RNA. RefSeq lists it as uncharacterized. NCBI's taxonomy places the organism in Eukaryota, Metazoa, Chordata, Actinopteri, Osteoglossiformes, Mormyridae. The record is from RefSeq and is a predicted model, not a curated record.
GUCCCUGAUUUUUGCUACGCGUUAACAGGAGCUAAUGAUUGCAGCGAAAGCGCAGAGACACGGAAAGAGAAUCAGGUAGGCUACGGAGUCGUGGAGCACUAGCCUACUUAAAUACGACGGAGGGACCAGAUGAAGCACACGGCGCUGGCAGCACAGGGAACUGUAACUGCGAAUAUGAAUGAACCCAACAGUCCGAAAGAGCUCAUCUUGUCUUGCCUGGCAGCAUUAUGCAGGAUCCUCUGUAUAUGCCGGCAGCCCCCCGACAGUGGAGAAUGUGACGAGUUACUGCAUCCCCCGGUUCAGGAGACUGAUUCUGCGCCAAACCGCAGUUCUGUGAAGCCCUGGUUUGACACUGGAAAUGGAUGCUGUUAAUUUCUCAUUAAGAAGCUGCUGCCUUCCUUUUCCAACAACCUUCAGAGAAGCUUUUUCUAUUAACUAUGAUGUGAAUUUGCCCUUUAAAAAGCGUUUUCUCACCAUGAGGCCUCCCUUACUGUGUGUGGCCGUACCUGUGCUCACGUGCCUUGCAUAUCGUCUAGGGUGCACCGUCCUAUGGUACCGAAGAAAUGUUUAAUGAUUUUAUCACCGUCCUUUUUGGCAUCACCUGAACCGAUCAGCUUCUAGUGCCAUAUCAGCACUAUACCAUGCUGUUUAUUUCUGACGGUUACUAUUUUAUGCACGGAUUUUUAUGACUGUCACCAUCUCUUUUGGCAUCAUCUACUCUACUCUUGGUAUAGUUCUUUGUAAGCUUUAAAACGGUUUAUAUGAAAUAUUAUGCAAUGC